AGAGCGACAGACUUCAAGCGACUUAUGUCAAAUAUUAAAAUAAACACGUUCUUAUGGACACAGUUAUGUAGUUGUGCAGCAAUUUAUACCAUGUUCAGACCGACACUUAAUCACACGAUUUCGGCUGUUGAAUGGAUUAUCCCAUUAAUCUUAAAAAUUUAUCAAGAUUUCGCCAUACAAAAAUGACAGUUCCAAAUCACUUCAUUGAAAUGAUUUGAAACUGAUCCACGCUAAAUCUCUCUGUGCGACUCUGAUUUUGCGCAAUCUACUUGUCAGCACUGGAAAUCUGUUACAUUAUCACAGCUGAUUUAGACACUACAAAGGGAAAAAAAUGUAAACAAACAAAUUUUUUUUAAAGCAAUGAAUCUAAUUUCAUCUGAAAAUCGA
Bactrocera neohumeralis is the source of this 387-nucleotide long non-coding RNA. RefSeq lists it as uncharacterized. The transcript has 2 exons. Lineage: Eukaryota; Metazoa; Arthropoda; Insecta; Diptera; Tephritidae. The record is from RefSeq and is a predicted model, not a curated record.